GGCAAGCCACAUCCAAAGCAAAACUAAAGCGAUCACUAUACAAAUCCAAGUUGCAGUCCAGUCGGACUCCGGGCUGCAAUCGGAACUAUGUGUCAGCGGAAGCAUCCUACAAAAGGGCCAACACCGCAGACAGCGUUGGGUGCAGACGCAACCUCCUACUCGAAGUCCUCGGCGACGUAGUCCGGAUCCUCCUCUGAAGCAGCAAAACAGGGGUGAGUACAAAAGUACUCAACAAGUCCAACCCCAUCCACGGAGGGGAAUACAACAAGAAUAUGCAUAGGAUUCAACAAGGAUAGGGUUAAGGUUCAUUUGCAAAUAAGCUAUAUUUUUGACUCAUGCAAGGGUUCAUUUUUAAAGAGUUUUCACAAGUAUUUUAUUUAGUAACCGAAACAUUAAGUGGGGUUGAUCCU
RNAcentral lists this long non-coding RNA (410 nucleotides) under Setaria italica (foxtail millet). Its description in RNAcentral is "long non-coding RNA (SITA_LNC006652)". Lineage: Eukaryota; Viridiplantae; Streptophyta; Magnoliopsida; Poales; Poaceae. The record is from RNAcentral.